UGGGGAAUUUUGGACAAUGGGGGCAACCCUGAUCCAGCCAUUCCGCGUGAGUGAAGAAGGCCUUCGGGUUGUAAAGCUCUUUUGUCCGGAACGAAACGGUACGGGUGAAUAUCCCGUGCUACUGACGGUACCGGAAGAAUAAGCACCGGCUAACUACGUGCCAGCAGCCGCGGUAAUACGUAGGGUGCGAGCGUUAAUCGGAAUUACUGGGCGUAAAGCGUGCGCAGGCGGUUUUGUAAGCCAGACGUGAAAUCCCCGGGCUUAACCUGGGAAUGGCGUUUGGGACUGCAAGGCUUGAGUAUGGCAGAGGGGACUAGAAUUCCUGGUGUAGCAGUGAAAUGCGUAGAUAUCAGGAGGAAUACCGAUGGCGAAGGCAGGUCCCUGGGUUAAUACUGACGCUCAUGCACGAAAGCGUGGGGAGCAAACAGGAUUAGAUACCCUGGUAGUCCACGCCCUAAACUAUGUCAACUGGUUGUUGGGGGUUUGACACUCUCAGUAACGAAGCUAACGCGUGAAGUUGACCGCCUGGGGAGUACGGCCGCAAGGUUA
This 549-nucleotide ribosomal RNA is filed under the name uncultured bacterium. RNAcentral describes it as "bacterial SSU rRNA". It matches the Rfam family "Bacterial small subunit ribosomal RNA", at positions 355 to 896 of the family's 1533-position model. The record is from RNAcentral.